This 416-nucleotide ribosomal RNA is filed under the name Pinctada maxima (silver-lipped pearl oyster). Its description in RNAcentral is "eukaryotic LSU rRNA". The stretch from base 309 to 416 matches the Rfam family "Eukaryotic large subunit ribosomal RNA", at positions 1 to 108 of the family's 3401-position model. Lineage: Eukaryota; Metazoa; Mollusca; Bivalvia; Pterioida; Pteriidae. The record is from RNAcentral.
UGAAUUGCAGGACACAUUGAACAUCGACAUCUUGAACGCAUAUUGCGGCCUAGGGUCACUCCCUUGGCCACGCCUGUCUCAGGGUCGGUUAAACAUCUUCGCAAGUAAUUGCGCAUUUGGGCUGUCGCAGUCCUCCUUCGGGACUCCGUCGCCUCAAGUUCAGACCCGAUUGCCUUCGCACGUCGUCGGGCCCCUCUCGACCACACACGACGCAGCUCGCUUACAAGCACUGCGCCGGUGGAGCUAGGGCCUAUUUCCGUGUUGAGGGCGGUCGACGCUUCGGACGAGUCGCACGACUCUCCAUCCUCCGACCUGAGAUCAGACGAGACAACCCCCUGAAUUUAAGCAUAUCACUAAGGGGAGGAAAAGAAACUAACUAGGAUUCCCUCAGUAACGGCGAGUGAAGCGGGAAGAGC